This 1586-nucleotide ribosomal RNA is filed under the name Lactiplantibacillus plantarum. Its description in RNAcentral is "bacterial SSU rRNA". It matches the Rfam family "Bacterial small subunit ribosomal RNA". Lineage: Bacteria; Bacillati; Bacillota; Bacilli; Lactobacillales; Lactobacillaceae. The record is from RNAcentral.
GGGACAUGCUGCAGUCGACGAUUAGAGUUUGAUCCUGGCUCAGGACGAACGCUGGCGGCGUGCCUAAUACAUGCAAGUCGAACGAACUCUGGUAUUGAUUGGUGCUUGCAUCAUGAUUUACAUUUGAGUGAGUGGCGAACUGGUGAGUAACACGUGGGAAACCUGCCCAGAAGCGGGGGAUAACACCUGGAAACAGAUGCUAAUACCGCAUAACAACUUGGACCGCAUGGUCCGAGUUUGAAAGAUGGCUUCGGCUAUCACUUUUGGAUGGUCCCGCGGCGUAUUAGCUAGAUGGUGAGGUAACGGCUUACCAUGGCAAUGAUACGUAGCCGACCUGAGAGGGUAAUCGGCCACAUUGGGACUGAGACACGGCCCAAACUCCUACGGGAGGCAGCAGUAGGGAAUCUUCCACAAUGGACGAAAGUCUGAUGGAGCAACGCCGCGUGAGUGAAGAAGGGUUUCGGCUCGUAAAACUCUGUUGUUAAAGAAGAACAUAUCUGAGAGUAACUGUUCAGGUAUUGACGGUAUUUAACCAGAAAGCCACGGCUAACUACGUGCCAGCAGCCGCGGUAAUACGUAGGUGGCAAGCGUUGUCCGGAUUUAUUGGGCGUAAAGCGAGCGCAGGCGGUUUUUUAAGUCUGAUGUGAAAGCCUUCGGCUCAACCGAAGAAGUGCAUCGGAAACUGGGAAACUUGAGUGCAGAAGAGGACAGUGGAACUCCAUGUGUAGCGGUGAAAUGCGUAGAUAUAUGGAAGAACACCAGUGGCGAAGGCGGCUGUCUGGUCUGUAACUGACGCUGAGGCUCGAAAGUAUGGGUAGCAAACAGGAUUAGAUACCCUGGUAGUCCAUACCGUAAACGAUGAAUGCUAAGUGUUGGAGGGUUUCCGCCCUUCAGUGCUGCAGCUAACGCAUUAAGCAUUCCGCCUGGGGAGUACGGCCGCAAGGCUGAAACUCAAAGGAAUUGACGGGGGCCCGCACAAGCGGUGGAGCAUGUGGUUUAAUUCGAAGCUACGCGAAGAACCUUACCAGGUCUUGACAUACUAUGCAAAUCUAAGAGAUUAGACGUUCCCUUCGGGGACAUGGAUACAGGUGGUGCAUGGUUGUCGUCAGCUCGUGUCGUGAGAUGUUGGGUUAAGUCCCGCAACGAGCGCAACCCUUAUUAUCAGUUGCCAGCAUUAAGUUGGGCACUCUGGUGAGACUGCCGGUGACAAACCGGAGGAAGGUGGGGAUGACGUCAAAUCAUCAUGCCCCUUAUGACCUGGGCUACACACGUGCUACAAUGGAUGGUACAACGAGUUGCGAACUCGCGAGAGUAAGCUAAUCUCUUAAAGCCAUUCUCAGUUCGGAUUGUAGGCUGCAACUCGCCUACAUGAAGUCGGAAUCGCUAGUAAUCGCGGAUCAGCAUGCCGCGGUGAAUACGUUCCCGGGCCUUGUACACACCGCCCGUCACACCAUGAGAGUUUGUAACACCCAAAGUCGGUGGGGUAACCUUUUAGGAACCAGCCGCCUAAGGUGGGACAGAUGAUUAGGGUGAAGUCGUAACAAGGUAACCAAUCUCUAGAGGUCCCCGGGACCGAGCUGACGCAA